GAGAAAAAAUAUUUCUUAGUUAAUUUGAGACUAUUUCCUUCUAUGUGUUCAAUGAAAGAUAUUUAUCAAGAAUUUAUUGAUUUCUAGUGUUCUCUAGAGAACUGUAUAUUACCGUCUGUAAAAGCAUCCCUUUGCAUGGUCUCGAUUAUGGAACGAUGAUGACUCUUUUUUUUGUUUCUUGAUGCUCACUGAUGGUCAAAAGGCAUUUGAAGUCUGAGUCCAACUAUGCAAACAGGCUGUCUUGCAAAUAGAAUUAUCUCUGUUAGCAUGUUACCCUAAAUAUUUUUAGUAUCCAUACAUAGUAUACAUAGUAUCCAUAACAUGUUCAACACCUUGCUUGCUCCUGGAUUAAAGUAUUUGUGAAAAACCAUGCUACAUCUGUUUGGGAUCAGUGAUUUUAGACGUACACUGAUGAAACUUUAACAGAUUAAUAAAAUUUAAAGGUAUCUCAGCUUUCCUUGAUCGCAGGCUUAAUAUUAGACAUCUACAUCCUCUAGUUUUAAAUCUCGCAAGAAUUAAGUUUUUCAGUAGUUCAUUUAAUUUUCUACACACUUUCAGGAAGCAUUUGUUCUCCAAAGGAUUAGUGAGUUGCAGCGUGAUGGUCUGUGGGCGGAGAAACGGUUACCAAAAGUUUCAGAACCUCAACGAGUCAAAGCUCACUGGGAUUAUUUGCUAGAGGAGAUGGUCUGGUUAGCAGCUGAUUUUGCUCAAGAGCGCAAGUGGAAGAAAGCUGCAGCUAAAAAAUGUGCAAGGAUGGUCCAGAAACACUUCAAGAGAAAGAAAUGGCAGCUCAGAAACAGGCCAAAGCUGCAGAGCUCCAAUUAAAAAGAUUGCCAGUUUUAUGGCAAAAGAAGUAAAAACUUUCUGGGCAGAUAUAGAAAAGUUGGUAGAAUUCAAACAGAAAACUAAGUUAGAAGAAAAACGAAAGAAGGCUCUGGACCAACAUCUCAGUUUCCUUGUCGAUCAAACAGAAAAAUUUCAUCAUGGUUGCCGAAAGUAUGAAUAAAUCAUCAAACAGCAAUGCAGCCACACCACUCUUCAGUCUGCUGCAUCAUCCCGACCGUCCACCCCUUUACAAGCUGGUGAAUCAGAUGGUGAGUUUGAACCCAACCAAAGCUCAGAUGACGAUGAAGAAGAAACAAUCGCCAAAGCAGAACAAGAAGAAGUUGUUGACCACUCAAAAGAGACAUGCUCAAGCAAGAAUCAGAGCUUCCUCUCGAAGACCUCUUGAAAUCACUUCCAAAAGACUAUUUAGCCAACCGUCACAAAAAUUGUCCUCAGAAUCAGUGAGUAUUCUUUCUUGUGGUGUGAAAUUUCUCAUUUGUUGAUGACAUAUAAAGUAUUGUAAAGCUAGUCAGAAAAAUG
Molecule: long non-coding RNA, 1365 nt
Filed under: Bemisia tabaci
Lineage: Eukaryota; Metazoa; Arthropoda; Insecta; Hemiptera; Aleyrodidae
Description: lncRNA ENSSWEETPG009793
Source: RNAcentral